This 72-nucleotide transfer RNA is filed under the name Ancylostoma caninum (dog hookworm). It matches the Rfam family "tRNA". From Rfam's summary of the family: Transfer RNA (tRNA) molecules are approximately 80 nucleotides in length. Their secondary structure includes four short double-helical elements and three loops (D, anti-codon, and T loops). Further hydrogen bonds mediate the characteristic L-shaped molecular structure. tRNAs have two regions of fundamental functional importance: the anti-codon, which is responsible for specific mRNA codon recognition, and the 3' end, to which the tRNAs corresponding amino acid is attached (by aminoacyl-tRNA synthetases). tRNAs cope with the degeneracy of the genetic code in two manners: having more than one tRNA (with a specific anti-codon) for a particular amino acid; and 'wobble' base-pairing, i.e. permitting non-standard base-pairing at the 3rd anti-codon position. Lineage: Eukaryota; Metazoa; Nematoda; Chromadorea; Rhabditida; Ancylostomatidae. The record is from Rfam by way of RNAcentral.
GCCACAUUGGCUCAGGGGCAGCGCGUCUGCCUAGUAAACAGAAGGUCGCUGGUUCGAUUCCAGCAUGAGGCA